RNAcentral lists this ribosomal RNA (52 nucleotides) under Trichophyton tonsurans. RNAcentral describes it as "partial 28S ribosomal RNA". The record is from RNAcentral. Lineage: Eukaryota; Fungi; Ascomycota; Eurotiomycetes; Onygenales; Arthrodermataceae.
GGUUGACCUCGGAUCAGGUAGGGAUACCCGCUGAACUUAAGCAUAUCAAUAG